UUCCUUCCCCUUGCUGGAAUAACAUCUCACAUCUGCUGAGGUCCAAGGGAAAACUGCUUCAGAUGUCAAAGGAGGUCCAGCUGGAGCACUCGUGUGUGCCCUGAGCUGAGGUCCUGCCGGGCAGUGCCCCGCUGGGUGACCCCGAGCCCGACAGCGGCUGCUCCGUGCUCCCGAGACAAGGAGGAAGCUCUGCAGACACAACUCCCAGAAAAGCUGUCACGUCCCUGCUUCUGCAGCCUUGGCUUUGAUCACAGAAAUCACCAAGGGAAAGAUGUCCAGUGUAAGACCAUGAACAGUUCUGGUUCAUGUGCAGAGCUGUUAACCAAGUUGAAGGCAUCUGGGUUUUCUCUCUCUCACUGACUCCUGGAGUGCUUUUAAGGCAAACUUCAAAUUUUUAAGAUUUCACACGUAUUCGUCUGAUGUGGAGCUCCUGGGAGGAAUUCACAGGCCUGUACCAGUAGCUCCUCAGCUCUUUCCACAGAUCAUACCACGACUGAGACGUCCCCUCCCAGGUGUGAAGGACAUCCACAAAGUUGGCAUCAUCGGGGGAGAGGCGCCUGCUGGGGUCCACUCCUUCAAACAUGGGGCCAGCAGGAUCCAAGCCUGGAGUCAGAGACAGAACACAAGGGCCCAGGGCAGCACAACCCAAUAGCAGCACCAUGACAAGAUUGCCUGUUGGAAGCAAAAAGCCUUCACCAGGUGAUGGUGAAGAGAUGAUUCAAGAGGCAGCUCCAAACACCAGAAGAGGUUUAACACCACAGGGACAGCUGGCAGCCAAAGCUGCCUCAGUGACAUUUAGUCUGUUUUCACACUGCAGAUAUGGAGGGACUAACACAAUUUAAGCAGCAGCCAAGAAAUACCUGCAUCUGAGAUCCCAUGAUAGGUUUGGGAUGCUCUGUUAACCCCUGAGCCUCACCCCCAAUCAAAACCUGCACUCCAGAGCAUUUCUACUACUUGACUGUUAGAUGAUUUUUCCCCCUGAUUAAUUAAAUACAGACAUUUAUUGCUAGGCUAUGUGGAAUUCUAACUGCCAGUGUCACAUGUAAAUCCUUAAUGCAACUCCUUGUACUAUGCCCUAAGUUCUCAGAUGUUGAAAUCAGCUUUCCUCUGGAGCUGGAAGCAAACUCUUCAGAUAUUUCCAGAAUGAGGGUUUAGAGUUGAUUUUUUUUUUUUUUUAAUCAGACAUCCUGUGGGACAAACAGCACCCAAUCGCUCUCGCCUCUAUUAGCUUAUGAGCUAUAAUUACAAAAACACUAUCACUCAGAGGAAUAGCAUUUGGAUAGUAAGAGCUUGAGCUAGACUUGUUUUGAACCCACAUUUAAAUUCAAACAAACCCAGGACCAGUUUGUCCUGGGUAAGGUUUUUUCACUGAAGCCUUGCUAUAAUUGAUAUGAGGAGACCUGUGCUUUCCACUGCUGCCAGAAGCAGAAAACUUGUCAUUUCUGGAAGAAUAACACCAAAACAACAUUGUAGCAACACAGGAAACAAGCCCUUUCGGGGAAACUCACUGCCAGGAAGGACAGG
This is a long non-coding RNA of Pyrgilauda ruficollis (rufous-necked snowfinch), 1524 nucleotides long. RefSeq lists it as uncharacterized. The record is from RefSeq and is a predicted model, not a curated record. The transcript is spliced from 5 exons. NCBI's taxonomy places the organism in Eukaryota, Metazoa, Chordata, Aves, Passeriformes, Passeridae.